Xyrichtys novacula (pearly razorfish) is the source of this 768-nucleotide non-coding RNA. The record is from the annotation of a GenBank genome assembly. NCBI's taxonomy places the organism in Eukaryota, Metazoa, Chordata, Actinopteri, Labriformes, Labridae.
CACCAUCUAGUGGAGCUUCGGCGUUACUGCAGCUCCACAGAUUAAAAAAAAGAGCGAGUUAUCCACUAUGGAAGCAAAUUUGUAUCAUAAUUCAAAGGUCAUAGACUGUAUAUAGAAUGGACCAUAGACAUAAUACAGCCUGAUGCUGCCUAUUGGAGCUCACGUAUCAGCUCGCCCGCCAUCUUGGAUGGGUCCCCUAAGCGCCUCCAUUGCGUUAAGGUAGGUAGGAAUGCCCAACCAUAUUAAUAAUAACUCUCCGAAUCUCUGCCCGAUUUUCACACUGUUUGGUUUGUUACAAAUGGCAAGGAUGUAGCCAUAAUACAGGACAAUGCCACACAUCAAAAAUAAAAAAAAAUUUCAAUCUUAUUUGUGAAAUGUAAUCCUACGUGACUGGGUUUCAAUACUGUAUCUUUUUUUUUUUCAACCAUAGAGUGCAAAAAUACAGGCAUAGUUGCUCGUUCUCCAUUGACCCCGUUGGCUCUUGAGCGAGCCUUAAGUACAGAGACCCAUCCAACAUGGCGGCAACACUGGAUUACGCUCCAGCACGUAAUGAGGCGUCAAAGUAUAUAAUGUCUAUGGAAUGGAAUCUGCCUCCUCACUGGGUGAAGCCAUUCCGAGAACAGCACCCUCUGGCGGCAGGCUGCAGUAUGGGUCAUAAAUCGCGCCUCUGCCAUCCAUCCUACGAAAAAAAAUUUGCACCCGGGGAUACGCUGUUUGAGCCGAGCUUCAUCACAGAAACUCUCAGCGACUUUCCUGCCGAACAUGUAC